This is a ribosomal RNA of Ancylostoma ceylanicum, 270 nucleotides long. It matches the Rfam family "Eukaryotic small subunit ribosomal RNA", at positions 1190 to 1488 of the family's 1831-position model. Lineage: Eukaryota; Metazoa; Nematoda; Chromadorea; Rhabditida; Ancylostomatidae. The record is from Rfam.
UUAAUUUGACUCAACACAGGAAAAUUCACCCGGUUCGGACACCGUAAGAAUUGACAGAUUGAAAGCUCUUUCUCGACUUGGUGGCUGGUAGUGCAUGGCCGUUCCUAGUUGGUGGCGCGAUUUGUCUGGUUUAUUCCGACAAAGGAGGAGGAUGUCUGAUGAGAUUGUGUACCUAUUGUCUGUGUAAGAUACACACUACGUGUAUUUUCAAUUUUUCCGGAACGCUGGAAAAGCCGAAAUUCUACGUUUUCACCUCCGACUUUCCGGCCU